AUAUAUGCUUCUGAGAAUAUUAUGCAACCAUGAAGCUUUGCACUUCAACAUAAAUGAAUCCCAAAAAGAGCCAGAUGAACUGUUGGCUGGGAGGCAGAGCCUUAGGAUGUUUCAAAUUCAUUGUGACUUCACAUAAAGGUACUCUCUGGAGUAUGAAAGUCAAUUUUACAGGUGUAAAAUAAAGGAAAAGAAGACAGUCUGAAAGUCAAAUGAAAUUCCAGGACCACCUGUAUUUCAGUGAGCCAGGGUCGAUGGAGGGGACACUGCUUUGGAACUGGACUCCCCAGAGUCAAUGAGGACAAUAGGAUUCAGGCACAGCAGAACCCUGAGGCUGGCAUUAAACAUUAAAGAAAAAUUGUAAGUAGCUACCAAAGUGUAGCAAAGCUGCAAUGGCAAACACAUUUGUA
This 407-nucleotide long non-coding RNA is filed under the name Homo sapiens (human). RNAcentral describes it as "HSALNT0124579". The record is from RNAcentral. Lineage: Eukaryota; Metazoa; Chordata; Mammalia; Primates; Hominidae.